This 533-nucleotide long non-coding RNA is filed under the name Nicotiana benthamiana. RNAcentral describes it as "long non-coding RNA (NBEN_LNC014384)". The record is from RNAcentral. Lineage: Eukaryota; Viridiplantae; Streptophyta; Magnoliopsida; Solanales; Solanaceae.
AAUUAAUUGCGUAGUGACUUGGUAAUUUUUGUCUAUAAUUUUAAUUUUAAUUUUUAAAUUGGUAUAUUUAUUAACAUAUUAUUAUUAUUGUGUUUUAGUUAUAUAUAUAAUAUUUUAUUUUAUUUUAUAAAUUGUCGCCUCACAUCAAAAAGGCGAGCGCUUCGCUGCGCGCCUCUCACCUCACUGAAGCGAGCCCUCAUCGCUAUUUGUCGCCGCGCGCUAUCAAAAACACUAUGUUGUAAACAUAUUAGCGCGCCUCUCACCUCACUGAAGCGAGCCCUCAUCGCUAUUUGUCGCCGCGCGCUAUCCAAAACACUGGAUUCAGGUAGCCAAAAAUAUAUGUUUGUCUGGUUUUCUAGUCUUACCUGUCCAUGCUUGUUUUAUGAUUGCAUUAAAAUCUUCUUUAGAUGACGGCUAUUAAUAGCAUUUUAUGCUGCAAAUGGGAUGAGGAUUUGCAGGAGGGAUUAGAGACCCAAUUCUUUUGAUCUUUGGUCUAAAUGUACACCUCUGACAGAUUUUCUUGUGAAACUUGG